Molecule: long non-coding RNA, 1031 nt
Filed under: Equus caballus (horse)
Lineage: Eukaryota; Metazoa; Chordata; Mammalia; Perissodactyla; Equidae
Description: lncRNA (ENSECAG00000058602.1)
Source: RNAcentral
AAGCAGGUCACUGAAGUAAUCCCAGAGAGCGCAGAGAGGUGGCAACUGAGGACAACCAGCAGUGGCAGUGGAGAUGGAGAAAUACCAAAUAUACUUGAAAGGUUCUCUCCUACACUACCUACACCACAGGGAUUCAGCCAUGAAAAACAACAACUAACACCCUACGCCCGUGGAGCUUUCAGCUAGUGGGAGAGCUAGUCAAGUUUAUGUCUUACAUCUGCUAUUGAACAGUAAGCAGUAGGUGAUUUGAAAGGAGGACCUCUGUCUUAUUUAUUUUUAUGUUCUCUACAAUACCUGGCUGGGCAAUUGGGACAUAGAAGAAGCUGAUGAAUGUUUGUUAUUCACUAUAAUCAAGAGGUAAAAAUCUGGUGGAUAGAGAUAGCAAACAGGAUCGGCACAUGCAAAGCGAGGAGGAGCAAGUGAGAAGUUCGGUGAUUGCCUGGGAAGGAGAAAAGGCGCUUUGAAGAAGAGAAGAUGCUUGAGUUCCAACCUGUAGACCCUCCCAGACAGCAAAUCAUGAAGCUGCUUAGAAAAGAAAACUGAAAGUUAAGAAUGGAGAAGAAAUCACUGAGUUUGGUUCAAAACAUUCCAGCUCUUAACGACAAUGUGUGACAACAUCCCAGAAACAUGACACAGUGGGUAAAGGUGACUUGGAGUGAGGACAAACCAGCAUCUACAUUCUGACUCUGACAUCCAGCCUGUUGUACCUUGGACAGGCAAGAUAACCUCUCUGAUCCUCAGUUUCUACUGGUGUAAAAUGGUGAAUAUAAUACCAACUUUGAAAGACUGUAAUGAGGAGUAAAGAAAAUAAUGUAGAAAAUUAUCUGGCACAGUACCUUGGACAUAGUAGGUAUUUAAUAAAACUUUCAUACGGUCAUAAUCAAUUAAAAAGUAAAAGCAAAUAGCUAUUUAUUUUUUCUUUUUCUGUCUGACAAUGAUAAGUUUGAUGUAUUUUCAGUCAGCAGGGGCAAUUGUUCAGUUGAUUGAAAUGAUCGAAUUCAUCCGUUGCUUUGGCAUCAUUCUGACCCGGC